This 333-nucleotide ribosomal RNA is filed under the name Triticum aestivum (bread wheat). Its description in RNAcentral is "partial small subunit ribosomal RNA". The record is from RNAcentral. Lineage: Eukaryota; Viridiplantae; Streptophyta; Magnoliopsida; Poales; Poaceae.
AUGUUGGUAGUGUUACCAAACUGUUUUUUUAGUUCCGAGCCUGUUUUCUGGCGACCUGCUUGUGAGAAGAAUAGGGCACUUGCCUCUGAACUGCUCAGUAGUUUGCUUGGGUUUGUAUCCACCCUGAAACUUGAUUGUUCUGAGGUCACUAAAUCUGUUUGGUGUCCAUUAUUGGUGUUUGAAACUGGUCUGCUAUCUGUUUUCCUUUGCUCUUUUAGUUGUGCCGUUGCAUGUUUUUGUUUAGAUGACUCCAUAUACUCGUUGACUGCUGAGGAAAGUAGUGUUGCUGAUGUGAUUUUGAAAAUUGAACUACUGUGCAAUCACGGUCCAUAG